This is a long non-coding RNA of Zootermopsis nevadensis, 367 nucleotides long. RefSeq lists it as uncharacterized. The record is from RefSeq and is a predicted model, not a curated record. Lineage: Eukaryota; Metazoa; Arthropoda; Insecta; Blattodea; Termopsidae.
AUUUAAUUUCGUGCUAGAAACAAGACACGAAACUUGCUUAGGAUUCUGACCUGCUGUCGCACGUCGUCUAUGUACCAGCUGGUUUCGGGGUCAGAAUUUUUCUGGGUACUUGUGGGAUAUCGGGACAUCGCUUUAAAAGGACUGUAUCUGUCUGCAUCAUCACGUAAAAUAAGAGUGACAAGGGGUCCCUUAGAAACAGCAGUCUCCAUCAAUGGACACCUACUGAAGUUCAAGCCAGAUACCUAGCGUUUUGGUCAAGAUUUGAAGCCAGGACAUCCUGAAUGAGGCCCACGUACUAAUCACUCAGCGAUUACGGUUGGCCCUGGCAGAUGUAUUCAAAGGAUAAGAUCCUGUGCUUCAUGGCAUG